RNAcentral lists this ribosomal RNA (585 nucleotides) under Candida albicans. Its description in RNAcentral is "partial large subunit ribosomal RNA". It matches the Rfam family "Eukaryotic large subunit ribosomal RNA", at positions 70 to 668 of the family's 3401-position model. The record is from RNAcentral. Lineage: Eukaryota; Fungi; Ascomycota; Pichiomycetes; Serinales; Debaryomycetaceae.
CGGGAUUGGCCUCAGUAGCGGCGAGUGAAGCGGCAAAAGCUCAAAUUUGAAAUCUGGCGUCUUUGGCGUCCGAGUUGUAAUUUGAAGAAGGUAUCUUUGGGCCCGGCUCUUGUCUAUGUUCCUUGGAACAGGACGUCACAGAGGGUGAGAAUCCCGUGCGAUGAGAUGACCCGGGUCUGUGUAAAGUUCCUUCGACGAGUCGAGUUGUUUGGGAAUGCAGCUCUAAGUGGGUGGUAAAUUCCAUCUAAAGCUAAAUAUUGGCGAGAGACCGAUAGCGAACAAGUACAGUGAUGGAAAGAUGAAAAGAACUUUGAAAAGAGAGUGAAAAAGUACGUGAAAUUGUUGAAAGGGAAGGGCUUGAGAUCAGACUUGGUAUUUUGCAUGUUGCUCUCUCGGGGGCGGCCGCUGCGGUUUACCGGGCCAGCAUCGGUUUGGAGCGGCAGGAUAAUGGCGGAGGAAUGUGGCACGGCUUCUGCUGUGUGUUAUAGCCUCUGACGAUGCUGCCAGCCUAGACCGAGGACUGCGGUUUUUAACCUAGGAUGUUGGCAUAAUGAUCUUAAGUCGCCCGUCUUGAAACACGGACCA